Molecule: ribosomal RNA, 253 nt
Filed under: uncultured bacterium
Lineage: Bacteria
Description: partial 16S ribosomal RNA
Rfam family: Bacterial small subunit ribosomal RNA
Source: RNAcentral
UACAGGGGGUGCAAACGUUGCUCGGAAUCAUUGGGCGUAAAGCGCACGUAGGCGGUUCGUUAUGUCGGAUGUGAAAGCCCUUGGCUUAACCGAGGAAGUGCAUCCGAAACUGGCGAGCUAGAGUACGAAAGAGGAUCGCGGAAUUCCCGGUGUAGAGGUGAAAUUCGUAGAUAUUAGGAAGAACACCGGUGGCGAAGGCGGCCAUCUGGCUCGGUACUGACGCUGAUGCGCGAAAGCGUGGGGAGCAAACAGG